GGAAGUAAAAGUCGUAACAAAGUUUCCGUAGGUGAACCUGCGGAAGGAUCAUUAUUGUAUAACCGAGGUGCGAGGGCUGUCGCUGACCCGAAAGGUCGUGCACGCCCGAGUGCCCUCACACACAUCCAUCUCACCCCUAUGUGCACCACCGCGUGGGUCCCCCUUUGGCUUGUUCGGAGGGGGGCUUACGUUUUCACACAAACUUUGUAUGCAGUGUAGAAUGUAUUUUUUGUUUUUGCGAUCACGCAAUCAAUACAACUUCCAACAACGGAUCUCUUGGCUCUC
This 285-nucleotide unclassified non-coding RNA is filed under the name plant metagenome. RNAcentral's name for it is "partial contains small subunit ribosomal RNA and internal transcribed spacer 1". The stretch from base 1 to 54 matches the Rfam family "Eukaryotic small subunit ribosomal RNA", at positions 1778 to 1831 of the family's 1831-position model. The record is from RNAcentral.